UACGAAGGGGGCUAGCGUUGUUCGGAAUCACUGGGCGUAAAGGGCGCGUAGGCGGCCUGAUAAGUCGGGGGUGAAAGCCUGUGGCUCAACCACAGAAUUGCCUUCGAUACUGUUAGGCCUGAGACCGGAAGAGGUAAGUGGAACUGUGAGUGUAGAGGUGAAAUUCGUAGAUAUUCGCAAGAACACCAGUGGCGAAGGCGGCUUACUGGUCCGGUUCUGACGCUGAGGCGCGAAAGCGUGGGGAGCAAACAGG
RNAcentral lists this ribosomal RNA (253 nucleotides) under uncultured bacterium. Its description in RNAcentral is "partial 16S ribosomal RNA". It matches the Rfam family "Bacterial small subunit ribosomal RNA", at positions 524 to 776 of the family's 1533-position model. The record is from RNAcentral.